Molecule: long non-coding RNA, 1029 nt
Filed under: Equus asinus (donkey)
Lineage: Eukaryota; Metazoa; Chordata; Mammalia; Perissodactyla; Equidae
Description: lncRNA (ENSEASG00005026789.1)
Source: RNAcentral
AUAAAAUUGUAAGAUAUUUAAAGUGUACAUCAUGACAAUGAUAUACAUAUACAUUGAGAAAGGACUCCUCCCAUCCAGUUAAUUAACACAUCCAUCAUCUCACACAUUUAUCUUUUUUGGGGGGCAUGGGGAGAACAUUUAAGUUCUACUCUUUUAGCAAAUUUUGAUUAUAUGGUACAACGUUACCAACUAUAAUCACCAUGUUAUACAUUAGAUCCUCUGACCUUAUUCAUCUUAUAGCUGAAAGCCUGAGAAAAUUUUCUUUUAUAGUUGUUAUAAGUGAACAAUUUCAGCCUUUUCAUAAGAAGAGAGAAUUUGCUUCUCAAAACUGAGUAAAUUGGUAUAUAAAAGUCAUUUUGAGUGAUGCAAGUAAGCCAUUCUUUCCUAUACGGAUUGUCCUUAUUAUCUUUAUUAUUAAUGGAGAGAAACACAACCAUUACAAUUUUCUCAAAGGAGAUGGGUGAGCUGUGAGCAGGUGUUCUGGAAUGAACAUGUCAUUUCAGCAUAAAAGCUUUAUGGAACAUGUUCACUAUUGUCCUGCAUUAGCGGAAUUUUAUAUCUGUCAGAAUCCAUGAUCCCCACUCAGUCUAUGUGAAAUAGAGGUCGGCAAUAUCAAUGCUGCCCGAGGGGACAGUCCAUAGGAUUUCACUCCACCCUCUACAGAAAUGUUUUCCUUGACAAUGGAGCUGGGGAAUUCCUUUGGCAUCAUCUCACAGUGAGAGGUUUGCAUGUACAGUUAGCCAUCUGUUACAAAGUUCCUUGAUAAAGAGAUCAAUUCUCGUGGAUUAUUUUAAACAUUUGAGUGAAUAUAACUGCCAUUUUAAGAGUUCAGGUAUGCUCAGGUCUCAGGAAAACACAGGCACAAAGCAUUAUGUUGUACUGAACACCUUUUGGUCAGCAGGAGCAGUGAUCCACAUAAAGAGCCUGACGUGGGAGUAGGCAGACAGGACCAGGACAAGGUCCAACAGGAGUAAGAGUCUCAGCCUUGAUUCCAGUAAAAUUUGGACGAAGUGCUAUCCAGAGGCGUGC